This 417-nucleotide ribosomal RNA is filed under the name uncultured bacterium. RNAcentral describes it as "bacterial SSU rRNA". It matches the Rfam family "Bacterial small subunit ribosomal RNA", at positions 358 to 770 of the family's 1533-position model. The record is from RNAcentral.
GGAAUAUUGGACAAUGGGCGCAAGCCUGAUCCAGCCAUGCCGCGUGAAGGAAGACUGCGCUCAGCGUUGUAAACUUCUUUUGGAUGGGAAUAAUACUGUCGACGAGAUCGGCAAUUGAAGGUACCAUCAGAAUAAGCACCGGCUAACUCCGUGCCAGCAGCCGCGGUAAUACGGAGGGUGCAAGCGUUAUCCGGAAUCACUGGGUUUAAAGGGUGCGUAGGCGGUUUGAUAAGUCAGUUGUGAAAUCUCGUGGCUUAACCAAUGAAAUUGCGAUUGAUACUGUUGAACUUGAAUCAGGUUAAGGUAGGCGGAAUGUGGCAUGUAGCGGUGAAAUGCAUAGAUAUGCCAUAGAACACCGAUUGCGGAGGCAGCUUGCUGGACCUUGAUUGACGCUGAGGCACGAAAGCGUGGGGAGCA